GACGAACGCUGGCGGCGUGCUUAACACAUGCAAGUCGAACGGAAAGGCCCAGCUUUCCUGCUGUACGCGUGUCGAACGGGUGUGUAACACGCGGGUGAUCUCCCCCUAAUACCGCGAUAUGCUCUGGAAACUCGGUCUAAUAUCGGAUAGGUCAAUCGCUCAGUGUCGGUUGUGGAGAGUUUUUUCGGUGAGGGAUGAGCGCGCGCCCUAUCAGCGUGUUGGUGGGGUAAUGGCCUAUCACGGCGCCGCCGGGUAGACGGCCUGAGAGGGUGGGCGGCCACAUUGGGACUGAGACAGGGCCCACACUCAUACGGGGGACAGCAGUGGGGAAUAGUGCACAAUGGGCGCGAGUGAGAUGCAGAGGCGCCGUGUGGGAGAUGGCGGCCUGCGGGGUAUAAACCUCUUGCGACAGGGACGGAGCUUUGGUGACGGUAGCUUGAGAAGAAGCACCGGCUAACUACGUG
Molecule: ribosomal RNA, 464 nt
Filed under: uncultured bacterium
Lineage: Bacteria
Description: partial 16S ribosomal RNA
Rfam family: Bacterial small subunit ribosomal RNA
Source: RNAcentral